AGGUAUCCCUUUGCUAAGCUAUACGUAAACAGCCCGUGCUCAUUUCUUAGCUAAUGUUAAAUGAAUAUGCAAUCCUCAUUAUUUAAAUUAUGAUGAAAAAUUAGAUAUUAUCAAUACCACGAAAUCAAAGAUUUUAAGUUACGACACUUUAACUAAAUUACGCAGUCGUGAUUUAGUUAAACAAAAAGUAAGUAAUAAAGUAAGUGAUGUUGGUAAUGCUAUUAAAUAGGUAGGUAUGUAUAAUUUUAAUGGUUUAAACAGAGCAGGCUGUUCACGCCUAAACUAUUCCAACAUAAGUUAUCCAGAACAAUGUGUGGGACAUUCAGUGUGGAUGGCUAUCAACAAGCUGUGCAAGCGAAAAUGAUCUGAAGGAUCACCUGUACAAUGGAUCAGAAUGGCGUGCACAUAUUUGAUUGAUAGAUUUUCCCUCUGUACCGAAGAUACACUGUACUAUUUACUUAUAUU
Molecule: long non-coding RNA, 465 nt
Organism: Maniola jurtina (meadow brown)
Lineage: Eukaryota; Metazoa; Arthropoda; Insecta; Lepidoptera; Nymphalidae
Exons: 3
Source: RefSeq, a predicted model, not a curated record